AGAUUAAGCAAAAAAGAGCGCAGGGUGGAUGCCUUGGCACUAAGAGCCGAAGAAAGACGUGAUAAGCUGCGAAAAGCUGCGGGGAGAUGCAAAUGAUCCUUGAUCCGCAGAUGUCUGAAUGGGGAAACCCGGUACGAAGAACUCGUAUCAUCCAUACGCCAAUCCAUAACGUAUGGAGGGGAACCCGGUGAACUGAAACAUCUAAGUAGCCGGAGGAAGAGAAAGAAACAUCGAUUUUGUUAGUAGCGGCGAGCGAAAGCGAAAGAGGCCAAACCGGAGUGCGUGCACUCCGGGGUUCGGACCGCAUUUAAGAUUCAGUGAUUCUAGCAGAAAGGUUUGGGAAAGCCUGCCGGAGAGGGUGAAAGCCCCGUAAGCGAAAGGAGAACUGACUGAGCGGGAUCCAGAGUACAUCGAGACACGAGAAACCUUGAUGGAAAGAGCGGGGACCACCCCGUAAGCCUAAAUACUACUUAGUGACCGAUAGCGCAUAGUACUGUGAAGGAAAGGUGAAAAGGACCCCGGGAGGGGAGUGAAAGAGAACCUGAAACCCUGUGUUUACAAGCUGUGGAAGUUCUUUAAAUGAACAACCGCGUACUUUUUGUAGAACGGUCCGGCGAGUUGCGGAUACUGGCAAGGUUAAGCACUUAAGGUGCGGAGCCGAAGGGAUACCAAGUCUUAACAGGGCGUUAAGUCAGUAUACGCAGACCCGAAACCGGGUGAUCUAUCCAUGUCCAGGUUGAAGUUGUCGUAAAAGACAAUGGAGGACCGAAGCCACAUCCGUUGAAAAGGGUGGGCAUGAGGUGUGGAUAGGGGAGAAAUUCCAAUCGAACCCGGAGAUAGCUGGUUCUCCUCGAAAUAGCUUUAGGGCUAGCCUCGAUUUAGUCUUAUGGAGGUAGAGCACUGAAUUUCCGCGGGGGCGUCAAAGCUUACCAAAGAAUAUCAAACUCCGAAUGCCAUGUAGAUGAUGA
This 968-nucleotide ribosomal RNA is filed under the name Agathobacter rectalis. RNAcentral's name for it is "partial 23S ribosomal RNA". It matches the Rfam family "Bacterial large subunit ribosomal RNA", at positions 1 to 976 of the family's 2925-position model. The record is from RNAcentral. Lineage: Bacteria; Bacillati; Bacillota; Clostridia; Lachnospirales; Lachnospiraceae.